RNAcentral lists this ribosomal RNA (1090 nucleotides) under Aspergillus flavus. Its description in RNAcentral is "SSU rRNA". It matches the Rfam family "Eukaryotic small subunit ribosomal RNA", at positions 1 to 1103 of the family's 1831-position model. Lineage: Eukaryota; Fungi; Ascomycota; Eurotiomycetes; Eurotiales; Aspergillaceae. The record is from RNAcentral.
UCUGGUUGAUUCUGCCAGUAGUCAUAUGCUUGUCUCAAAGAUUAAGCCAUGCAUGUCUAAGUAUAAGCACUUUAUACUGUGAAACUGCGAAUGGCUCAUUAAAUCAGUUAUCGUUUAUUUGAUAGUACCUUACUACAUGGAUACCUGUGGUAAUUCUAGAGCUAAUACAUGCUAAAAACCUCGACUUCGGAAGGGGUGUAUUUAUUAGAUAAAAAACCAAUGCCCUUCGGGGCUCCUUGGUGAUUCAUAAUAACUUAACGAAUCGCAUGGCCUUGCGCCGGGCGAUGGUUCAUUCAAAUUUCUGCCCUAUCAACUUUCGAUGGUAGGAUAGUGGCCUACCAUGGUGGCAACGGGUAACGGGGAAUUAGGGUUCGAUUCCGGAGAGGGAGUGAGAAACGGCUACCACAUCCAAGGAAGGCAGCAGGCGCGCAAAUUACCCAAUCCCGACACGGGGAGGUAGUGACAAUAAAUACUGAUACGGGGCUCUUUUGGGUCUCGUAAUUGGAAUGAGUACAAUCUAAAUCCCUUAACGAGGAACAAUUGGAGGGCAAGUCUGGUGCCAGCAGCCGCGGUAAUUCCAGCUCCAAUAGCGUAUAUUAAAGUUGUUGCAGUUAAAAAGCUCGUAGUUGAACCUUGGGUCUGGCUGGCCGGUCCGCCUCACCGCGAGUACUGGUCCGGCUGGACCUUUCCUUCUGGGGAACCUCAUGGCCUUCACUGGCUGUGGGGGGAACCAGGACUUUUACUGUGAAAAAAUUAGAGUGUUCAAAGCAGGCCUUUGCUCGAAUACAUUAGCAUGGAAUAAUAGAAUAGGACGUGCGGUUCUAUUUUGUUGGUUUCUAGGACCGCCGUAAUGAUUAAUAGGGAUAGUCGGGGGCGUCAGUAUUCAGCUGUCAGAGGUGAAAUUCUUGGAUUUGCUGAAGACUAACUACUGCGAAAGCAUUCGCCAAGGAUGUUUUCAUUAAUCAGGGAACGAAAGUUAGGGGAUCGAAGACGAUCAGAUACCGUCGUAGUCUUAACCAUAAACUAUGCCGACUAGGGAUCGGGCGGUGUUUCUAUGAUGACCCGCUCGGCACCUUACGAGAAAUCAAAG